Molecule: ribosomal RNA, 520 nt
Filed under: uncultured Glomus
Lineage: Eukaryota; Fungi; Glomeromycota; Glomeromycetes; Glomerales; Glomeraceae
Description: SSU rRNA
Rfam family: Eukaryotic small subunit ribosomal RNA
Source: RNAcentral
AGCAGCCGCGGUAAUUCCAGCUCCAAUAGCGUAUAUUAAAGUUGUUGCAGUUAAAAAGCUCGUAGUUGAAUUUCGGGGUCAGUAGGCUGGUCGUGCCACAGGUACGUACUGGUCUCACUGAUCCCUCCUUCCUGAUGAACCGUAAUGCCAUUAAUUUGGUGUUGCGGGGAAACUGGACUGUUACUUUGAAAAAAUUAGAGUGUUUAAAGCAGGCUAACGCUUGAAUACAUUAGCAUGGAAUAAUGAAAUAGGACGUUCGAUCCUAUUUUGUUGGUUUCUAGGAUUGACGUAAUGAUUAAUAGGGAUAGUUGGGGGCAUUAGUAUUCAAUUGUCAGAGGUGAAAUUCUUGGAUUUAUUGAAGACUAACUACUGCGAAAGCAUUUGCCAAGGAUGUUUUCAUUAAUCAAGAACGAAAGUUAGGGGAUCGAAGACGAUCAGAUACCGUCGUAGUCUUAACCAUAAACUAUGCCGACUAGGGAUCGGAUGAUGUUAAUUUUUAAUGACUCAUUCGGCGCCUUAA